This is an RNA transcript of Bicyclus anynana (squinting bush brown), 1889 nucleotides long. It is a transcript of the gene named tropomyosin-1, with no coding region annotated. The record is from RefSeq and is a predicted model, not a curated record. The transcript has 8 exons. NCBI's taxonomy places the organism in Eukaryota, Metazoa, Arthropoda, Insecta, Lepidoptera, Nymphalidae.
CAGCGGCCGGCAUGUGGGAGUGAGAGCGCGGCGCUUGCGACGGCGGAUCGGAAUCCUGGAUUUUUGGCACCGAAAAUAGUAUGGGUGGGCGGCGCGAGCGCAGGGCGGGCGGCCGCGCGCUUAGUGCGUGUCGCUCCGCCGUGUGAACAGCCCGCUAGGCCAGUAGCUGGCGUAUUAUUUCGACCGGACCGUAGAAACAAAAAGCCGCCACCAUGGACGCGAUCAAGAAGAAGAUGCAGGCGAUGAAGCUGGAGAAGGACAAUGCCAUGGACAAGGCUGAUACCUGCGAACAGCAGGCCAGGGAUGCCAACCUCCGCGCCGAAAAGGUAAACGAGGAAGUCCGUGAACUCCAAAAGAAACUCGCCCAAGUAGAAGAAGACCUCGUCGUCAACAAGAACAAGCUCGAGCAGGCCAACAAAGACUUGGAAGAGAAGGAGAAGCAGCUGGCCGCUACCGAGGCGGAGGUGGCCUCACUCAACAGGAAGGUGCAGCAGAUUGAGGAGGACCUCGAGAAGUCUGAGGAGAGGUCUGGCACAGCCCAGCAGAAACUGCUCGAGGCUCAACAGUCCGCUGACGAGAACAACCGUAUGUGCAAAGUAUUGGAGAACAGAGCACAACAAGACGAGGAGCGCAUGGACCAGCUCACCAACCAACUGAAGGAAGCCCGACUCCUCGCUGAGGACGCUGACGGCAAGUCUGACGAAGUUUCACGCAAGCUGGCCUUCGUUGAAGACGAACUUGAAGUCGCUGAGGACCGUGUCAAGUCUGGUGAUGCCAAAAUCUCAGAACUUGAAGAAGAAUUGAAAGUCGUAGGUAACUCCCUUAAAUCACUGGAAGUAUCAGAAGAAAAAGCCAACCAACGUGUAGAAGAAUUCAAAAAGCAGCUGAAGACCCUCACUACCAAACUGAAGGAAGCUGAAGCACGCGCCGAGUACGCUGAGAAGACAGUGAAGAAACUGCAGAAGGAAGUCGACAGGCUCGAAGACACACUAUUCAACGACAAGGAGAAAUACAAGUCCAUAUGCGAUGAUUUGGACAGCACAUUCGCCGAACUCACUGGAUACUAACCAAUUCCUUACAAUUAGUUUAAGUCGCUACCGUUCCGUAGAACAAAUCCAUAAUACCCUUUAUUACAUUUCCAUUAAUUUGUAAACUUUCCUAAUUACCACAUCUAUUUUAACGUCCAUACAAAUCAUUUAUUAUAUCAUCUGACCAAUCUUAAUCUUCCAUUGCCUUUUCAAGCCUUGCAUUGCUUCUAAAAUAAUCCACAAUUUAUAAUUCUCCCUAAAUAACUGUAACCUUUUAGUCGAUAUUUAGAGGAUUGUCAUUAUCAUCUGGCAUGAAAUGGUUUUCAACUACGUUUCUAAUAUAAACAGUUAAAUCUCCGGAGUUUUCUACUCCGUUGACCAUGUUCUCUACAUAUAGCUUUAGUGCUUCAAGGCGGAAUGGAUGAGCAUAUUUUAGGCAUGCAUAACCCAUUUUAGAGCAUGUAGAAAUGAAAUUUUGAUUUAACUAAAUAUAGGACGUCAUUUGUUGAACCUUUUUGUAGGCAAUCCUUUAGAAAUCGUAGUAUUGGCCCUCUUUUUGUGUUGUGAUUAAUAUGUCUUAUGCUUUGCUGCUACCGCCGUGGAUCAAUGCUUCCAAGACGAGUUGGGCAUCAACAAGGACCGGUACAAGAGCUUGGCGGACGAGAUGGAUUCCACCUUCGCCGAGCUGGCGGGCUACUAGACGCACCAUCACAUUCACAACCAAACAUUCACCAGAUUCACAAGAUAGCGUGUCCGUCGACGCUACGCGAACUACUUUAUGUACUCGUGAUGUAAUAUUUAUUAAUAUAAUAUGUAAAUUUAUUUACGAUUUUCAAUAAAAUAAUUAAUUUAUAACAACUA